CCUACGGGAGGCAGCAGUGAGGAAUAUUGGUCAAUGGCCGCAGGGCUGAACCAGCCAAGUCGCGUGAGGGAUGACGGUCCUAUGGAUUGUAAACCUCUUUUGUCAGGGAGCAAAGGGCGCCACGUGUGGCGCUUUGCGAGUACCUGAAGAAAAAGCAUCGGCUAACUCCGUGCCAGCAGCCGCGGUAAUACGGAGGAUGCGAGCGUUAUCCGGAUUUAUUGGGUUUAAAGGGUGCGUAGGCGGGCUUUUAAGUCAGCGGUAAAAAUUCGGGGCUCAACCCCGUCCGGCCGUUGAAACUGUGGGCC
RNAcentral lists this ribosomal RNA (305 nucleotides) under uncultured bacterium. RNAcentral describes it as "bacterial SSU rRNA". It matches the Rfam family "Bacterial small subunit ribosomal RNA", at positions 338 to 641 of the family's 1533-position model. The record is from RNAcentral.